GUCAGUCGUAGCAUAUCGUCGUGGUAAAAUCCAGGACUUAUUUGUACUGCAUGAAAAUACUAUGACUUCACUUAUUUUGACGUGGUUGAUUUUACUCACCCCUCUUGUUAUUUUUAAGACUUUUUCAUGACUUCUCGAAUGUAUUUCGCUCUUUGUUGGUUAAACGAAUGGCUGGUGAUACGCACUAACCAUGACUUACAUGCACAGUACAAAGUGAGAUUGUGUGUGUGUGUGUGUGUGUGUGUGAGCUCUAUUUAUACCUGAAUGAGAACAUCGGCUUGCUCCGGCGAGAUGAGUCGCAGCUGUGAGCGUGACUCAUCUCGCCUCCCCGGUUUCACACCAACAGGAGGGACACGUAACGGAGACACAACGUACGCGCGCGCACACAAUGACUCCAGGUCACAACUUGUCCUCACAGUCAUGUCUGUCCUGCACCACUCGCUGUGGUUACUGACCCUCUGAUGCCGCCGCAGCUUCUCGUGUGCACUGUGAUGAACAAGGAGCGCAUGAAUACUGCAUUUACUUUGUAUUAAAGCUGAUGUGUGACGGAGUUUCCUGUGACCUUUGGCGCAAAACAAUUAUUUACUGUUCAUUUUAAUAAAUAACUAGAUUUGUAAAGGUUAUGCUUAGAAAAAGAAUUGUUCCAUCACAGGGAUUAUUUACAGCUCACUCUGACGUUUGCACCGUUUGUUAGCGGUUGUGUGUGAGUGCAUCACGGGACACAGAAGUGGAAGCGGCGGCAGCGUUUCCUGCGAAGAUGGAGGCCGAAGCGCUCCGGUGACUGCAGAGCUCGCGGUAUGGCGAUGCAGAUGAUGUGACACCAUGACAUGUUUACAGAAAAUCCUCAAUAACGGUGGACGCGAGGAAAAUACAUUUCCAACAGACACACGUCUUAAGCGCAGGAAACUCCUGUUCGGGUCUUUGUUUUUGCUCCUGACAGCCCGUUCACACACAUCAUUGACGCAUUUCUGUGCCUCUGACGUCCCAGCGAGCUGCGUCCGCUCAUGCGUGCAGCUCCUGGAUGAUUUCCUCAAAACUU
Gasterosteus aculeatus aculeatus (three-spined stickleback) is the source of this 1039-nucleotide long non-coding RNA. NCBI's taxonomy places the organism in Eukaryota, Metazoa, Chordata, Actinopteri, Perciformes, Gasterosteidae. The record is from Ensembl.